This 400-nucleotide ribosomal RNA is filed under the name uncultured bacterium. RNAcentral's name for it is "bacterial SSU rRNA". It matches the Rfam family "Bacterial small subunit ribosomal RNA", at positions 356 to 773 of the family's 1533-position model. The record is from RNAcentral.
GGGGAAUCUUGCGCAAUGGGCGAAAGCCUGACGCAGCCAUGCCGCGUGAAUGAUGAAGGUCUUAGGAUUGUAAAAUUCUUUCACCGGGGACGAUAAUGACGGUACCCGGAGAAGAAGCCCCGGCUAACUUCGUGCCAGCAGCCGCGGUAAUACGAAGGGGGCUAGCGUUGCUCGGAAUUACUGGGCGUAAAGGGAGCGUAGGCGGACAUUUAAGUCAGGGGUGAAAUCCCGGGGCUCAACCUCGGAAUUGCCUUUGAUACUGGGUGUCUUGAGUAUGAGAGAGGUGUGUGGAACUCCGAGUGUAGAGGUGAAAUUCGUAGAUAUUCGGAAGAACACCAGUGGCGAAGGCGACACACUGGCUCAUUACUGACGCUGAGGCUCGAAAGCGUGGGGAGCAAAC